CGAACGCUGGCGGCGUGCUUAACACAUGCAAGUCGAACGAGGACUAGAGAGCUUGCUCUCUAUAGCCGAGUGGCGAACGGGUGAGUAACACGUGACUAACCUGUCUUUAGGCGAGGGGCAACCUGGGGAAACCUGGGCUAAUACCACAUAAUGCCUAUUUUUCGUAUGGAAGAUAGAUCAAAGGGGGCCUCUGCUUGCAAGCUCCCGCCUAGAGAGGGGGUCGCGGCGUAUCAGCUUGUUGGUGAGGUAAUGGCUCACCAAGGCUACGACGCGUAGCGGGUCUGAGAGGACGAUCCGUCACAUUGGGACUGAGAUACGGCCCAGACUCCUACGGGAGGCAGCAGUGGGGAAUAUUGCGCAAUGGUCGAAAGACUGACGCAGCGACGCCGCGUGUGGGAGGAAGCCUUUCGGGGUGUAAACCACUGUCAGGGGGGAAGAACACCGGGUGUCUCAAUAGGAUGCCCGAUUGACGGUACCUCCAAAGGAAGCGCCGGCUAACUCC
This 502-nucleotide ribosomal RNA is filed under the name uncultured bacterium. Its description in RNAcentral is "bacterial SSU rRNA". It matches the Rfam family "Bacterial small subunit ribosomal RNA", at positions 30 to 504 of the family's 1533-position model. The record is from RNAcentral.